UACGGAGGGGGUUAGCGUUGUUCGGAAUUACUGGGCGUAAAGCGCACGUAGGCGGAUUAGAAAGUUGGGGGUGAAAUCCCAGGGCUCAACCCUGGAACUGCCUCCAAAACUACUAGUCUAGAGUUCGAGAGAGGUGAGUGGAAUUCCGAGUGUAGAGGUGAAAUUCGUAGAUAUUCGGAGGAACACCAGUGGCGAAGGCGGCUCACUGGCUCGAUACUGACGCUGAGGUGCGAAAGCGUGGGGAGCAAACAGG
RNAcentral lists this ribosomal RNA (253 nucleotides) under uncultured bacterium. RNAcentral describes it as "partial 16S ribosomal RNA". It matches the Rfam family "Bacterial small subunit ribosomal RNA", at positions 524 to 776 of the family's 1533-position model. The record is from RNAcentral.